AUCUAUGACCACUUCACCCUGAACGUGCCUGAUUUCUCACCUGACCUCAGAAGCUAAGCAGAGUCGGGCCAGGUUAGCACUUGGAUGGGUGACCCUGAAGAAUUCAUAGCAGGAUU
Molecule: ribosomal RNA, 116 nt
Filed under: Nannospalax galili (Upper Galilee mountains blind mole rat)
Lineage: Eukaryota; Metazoa; Chordata; Mammalia; Rodentia; Spalacidae
Source: RNAcentral